This 449-nucleotide ribosomal RNA is filed under the name uncultured bacterium. RNAcentral describes it as "partial 16S ribosomal RNA". It matches the Rfam family "Bacterial small subunit ribosomal RNA", at positions 29 to 523 of the family's 1533-position model. The record is from RNAcentral.
AAUGAACGCUGGCGGCAGGCCUGACACAUACAAGUCGAACGGAUCCUUCGGGAUUAGUGGCGGACGGGUGAGUAACGCGUGGGAACGUGCCCUUUGGUUCGGAAUAGCCUCGGGAAACUGGGAGUAAUACCGGAUAAGCCCUUCGGGGGAAAGAUUUAUCGCCAAAGGAUCGGCCCGCGUUGGAUUAGGUAGUUGGUGGGGUAAUGGCCUACCAAGCCGACGAUCCAUAGCUGGUUUGAGAGGAUGAUCAGCCACACUGGGACUGAGACACGGCCCAGACUCCUACGGGAGUCAGCAGUGGGGAAUCUUAGACAAUGGGGGAAACCCUGAUCUAGCCAUGCCGCGUGAUCGAUGAAGGCCUUAGGGUUGUAACGAUCUUUCAGUUGGGAAGAUAAUGACGGUACCAACAGAAGAAGCCCCGGCUAACUCCGUGCCAGCCGCCGCCGCGG